AUCCCAUGAUGUGGGCACUUUCGAAGCAUCUCCUUGUAGCGUUCCUACGCUUCACAUAAAGUUUCACCGGACAGUUGAGAGAAUUGAGUGAUAGCAUUCCUGAUUGC
Molecule: small nucleolar RNA, 107 nt
Filed under: Daucus carota subsp. sativus
Lineage: Eukaryota; Viridiplantae; Streptophyta; Magnoliopsida; Apiales; Apiaceae
Description: Plant small nucleolar RNA R71
Rfam family: Plant small nucleolar RNA R71
About the family: R71 is a member of the C/D box family of snoRNAs containing the C (UGAUGA) and D (CUGA) box motifs.
Source: Rfam by way of RNAcentral